UGCAAGUCGAACGCGGUUACCCCGCAAGGGGUAACUGAGUGGCGAACGGGUGAGUAACACGUGGGUGGCCUACCUUCGAGUGGGGGAUAACGUCCCGAAAGGGACGCUAAUACCGCAUAACAUCCCGUCCUUGAACGGAUGGAGAUCAAAGCCGGGGAUCGCAAGACCUGGCGUUUGAAGAGGGGCCCGCGUCCGAUUAGCUAGUUGGUGAGGUAACGGCUCACCAAGGCGACGAUCGGUAACCGGCCUGAGAGGGCGGACGGUCACACUGGGACUGAGACACGGCCCAGACUCCUACGGGAGGCAGCAGUGGGGAAUUGUUCACAAUGGGCGCAAGCCUGAUGACGCAACGCCGCGUGGAGGAUGAAGGUCUUCGGAUUGUAAACUCCUGUUGCCCGGGACGAAAAGCUUCGACCUAACACGUCGAAGUCUGACGGUACCGGGUGAGGAAGCCCCGGCUAACUCUGUGCCAGCAGCCGCGGUAAUACAGAGGGGGCAAGCGUUGUUCGGAAUUACUGGGCGUAAAGGGCGCGUAGGUGGCCUUCUAAGUCGAACGUGAAAUCCCUGGGCUCAACCCAGGAACUGCGUCCGAGACUGGGAGGCUUGAAUCCGGGAGAGGGAUGCGGAAUUCCAGGUGUAGCGGUGAAAUGCGUAGAUAUCUGGAGGAACACCGGUGGCGAAGGCGGCAUCCUGGACCGGUAUUGACACUGAGGCGCGAAAGCCAGGGGAGCAAACGGGAUUAGAUACCCCGGUAGUCCUGGCCCUAAACGAUGAAUGCUUGGUGUGGCGGGUAUCGAUCCCUGCCGUGCCGAAGCUAACGCAUUAAGCAUUCCGCCUGGGGAGUACGGUCGCAAGGCUG
RNAcentral lists this ribosomal RNA (859 nucleotides) under uncultured Acidobacteriota bacterium. RNAcentral's name for it is "bacterial SSU rRNA". It matches the Rfam family "Bacterial small subunit ribosomal RNA", at positions 56 to 896 of the family's 1533-position model. Lineage: Bacteria; Pseudomonadati; Acidobacteriota. The record is from RNAcentral.